GGUCUUAGCCCGCCUGCACCCAGGUGAAAUAAACAGCCUUGUUGCUGACACAAAGCCUGUUUGGUGGUCUCUUCAUAUGGACUUGUGUGACAAGGAACACCCUCCUUGAGCACAGGGGGAGGGUGAAUAUCAGAACUGAGUCUGACUUCUGACAACAUAGGAGCUGAAGGGACCUGGGAUGUUGGGUAGGCAGUUCCCACUGUCUGUCACAGGCCCUAAUAAAAUACAAGUAAGAGAAAAGAACAAAACUGGGGCAAUCUAGUCAAGAAAGGCUUUCUGGAAUGCAUGAGGCCCCAGCGAGAUCUAAAAUUCCUAGAUGGACUUGGUGUUGUGGAAGCAAGAUGGCAGUCGGGCAAAAGAGACAGGAAGCAAAUGAGUUCUACCUUGCCAACAAUGGGAAACAGACAUACUUAAUGUGAGUAGAGAGGUAGCCUUGGCCAGGAAAGUUUGUUUGAAGAUCCUGGUCUGUCUUGACUUUAAAUCACUUGCCUUUGGAAUGGAAGAGAACAGACAUCUCAUCAAAUGAACCAAUCUGAAUGCACGAAGCACCUGAAUCCAUCCCCACUCAGGAAUCCUGGUUACUGAUGCUACAAGAUGUCUUUGACAGGGAACAGUGGGUCAUAAGAUCUAUUUCUGCCUCCUGUCUGUGACGCACUGGAUGACUCAAAGUGAAUCUCUCCCCAUUUCUGAGUAUCUGGCCCCUAUCCAUGAAGAACAGAAGAUCACAUCAGUAUUUCCCUUUGGCAAGGUUGGCCCCUGCUGCAGCAACUGUGCAAAGACCACCAGACUGCCCUCUCUGCCAGCUUACUCUUCAGCCUUUCUGGCUCUUUCUCCCGCUUCCACAUCCCUGCUUUAUUUUUCUUUUUCUCCUUUUGCAAAUAGCAUUGCUCCAAAGCAACCCAGGCACGUGUCCUGGGGACAGCGCUGCGAGCUACCCCUGAGCUGUGGAGAGCAGGCCCAAGAUUGUUUGCUAUUAGCAACUCCCGUUUGCCGGAUAAAUAAAGCGAAUCUGAGUGCAGGCUCCUGUAGGCUGGGGCAUUUUCAUUCUGCAGCAGGUCAGCUUCCAUUCCACUAGGGGGCUUUGAAUGUUAAUAGGCAUUUCUUUCCAGGUACCCUUCUCCUUUCUCUACAGUGCACCAGUCCCCGUGGGACCUUCCAUUGGCAUCCUACAGAGAGAUUAUUACUCUUUUCAUUGUUUUCCUUACGAAUUAGUUUCUGGAUUUAAUGGCUUUGGUUGCUGAGCAGAUUUUGGAAAUUGGGGCAGAGGGUGGGGUGGGGUGAUCUGCAGAGCCCAUUAUGGGCACUGGGUUAUUGCCUGCUUGGGAUUUAGGUGGAAUAAAUGCUCACCUGUUUCUUGGGGAAUUUUGGGAUGGAGGUGGACCUUCUUUUCCCUUAGAAGGAAUUGUGUUUGUUGUUAUUGUAUGUUUAAGAAGCUUCUAGAAAUUGUAGCUCUGGAAUACAAUAGGUAGAGAGUGCACGUUUUUAAUGGGAUGUGGGGGAGUGUUGCUCAGUUGUGGGAAGAUUUGUAAUAAUAGUUGGGACUGGGGAUUGAGCAUUACCUGAAGACUGUUUUAUUAAUGCCACAAAGCAUAAAGUUUAAAAAAAAAAGAAGAAAAUCCAGGGGUGUCUUAGUGUCAGAAGCAUUGGAACCAUGUUGAAUAGGUGCUGGGUAAAAUGAGGCUGAGACCUGCUUGGCUGCAUUCCCAGGAGGUUAGGGAUUCUCAGUCACAGGAUGUUUAUGGUUAAGGGAACAGGCUAAUAAUGUUUUCCAAACAGACCCGGGACUUAACAGACUCAAGAAAUGUCUUGACGUCCUGCUAUCUUAAGCACAAAAACAUUCUUUGUUUAGUAAUAAAUUUUGCUUUAAAGAUAGUAAUAUAGAUUCUUGCAAAAGUCAGUAGUUACACAAGGAUUAACAAUCCUUUGUCAUGAGCCCUUGUAAUAGACCACAUCCUUCUCAUGAUUUUUUGCGUUGUUAUCUCAUAUAUAAACAUGCAUUGUACCAAAUAAGGUGGGUGCCUUACUUCUCUUGCUUUCAGAAAUGCCCUGCUCAGUCCAUGCAGCAACCAUUCUUUCAUUCUUUUACUUUCUUAAUAAGCUUGCUUUCACUUUA
This 2113-nucleotide small RNA is filed under the name Pongo abelii (Sumatran orangutan). RNAcentral's name for it is "sense intronic". The record is from RNAcentral. Lineage: Eukaryota; Metazoa; Chordata; Mammalia; Primates; Hominidae.